Molecule: RNA transcript, 1462 nt
Organism: Herpailurus yagouaroundi (jaguarundi)
Lineage: Eukaryota; Metazoa; Chordata; Mammalia; Carnivora; Felidae
Gene: FAM151B
Gene name: family with sequence similarity 151 member B
Exons: 8
Source: RefSeq, a predicted model, not a curated record
UCCGACCGGGGAACCUCGGCUCCGGCGCUCUGUGGGCCUUAGGUGGCGGCUCUGUUGUUUACAGUGUGUUGUUCGUUGAGUCGCGUUUCCACGCCACCUGUGACGGUCAGCGGCGGUUGCCCACGGCUCAGCGCCUCCGCGGACUGCGGCCGGUCGUUGCCAUGACAGCGACCGCUGGGGGCCCUGGAUCUUGGAGUGAAAAUAUACUAGAAUAUUUUCUGAGAAAUAACCACAUCAGAACAGAAGAUGGCGCUGAGAUCAUCUGGUAUCAUGCUGCUAACCACAAGGCACAGGUGAAUGAGGCACUGAAAAGUCCUGCUCACAUGAUAGAGGCUGAUGUCCUUCUUCCAAGUGAUGGAUCAGAAUAUAGCCAACCAAUCAUGGCCCAUCCUCCUGAAACAAAUAGUGAUAAUACUUUACAGGAAUGGCUGACUGAAGUUAUAAAAAGCAACAAAGGCAUCAAACUGGAUUUUAAGAGUCUAGCAGCUGUGGAACCAUCCAUGAUGCUCCUGGAAAAUGUGAAGAGGCAUCUGCAGCGUCCUGUGUGGAUUAAUGCUGAUAUUCUUCCUGGUCCAAAUGGAAAUAGCAGAGUAGUGGAUGCAAAACCUUUUAUAGACACAGUGACAUCCUUCUUUCCAGAUGUGACGUUUUCCCUGGGUUGGACAACAGGAUGGCAUCCUGAGAAAGUCAAUGAAGGUUACAGUUGGACAAUGGUGAAAGAAAUGGAAUAUAUAUGUAAGGACCUAAAUCUGCCUGUAACAUUUCCUGUCAGAGCAGCAUUAGUUAGGCAGUCUUGUUCUCAGUUACUCUGGCUGUUAAAGAAAUCAAACAGAGGUUCAACAAAACUCUGGCACCCUCUUUCUUUUUUCCUGGAGAACUGGUUAUUUCAGAAAUUACAGAAGAGUAAGAGGGCUUUAAAAAUGUUCUAACUUUCACACAGGUUCUCAAGUCUAAUGUUUGGUGUUGAGAACUCAUGGCAUCCAAGGGCUAUUUCCCAAGUUUGGCAGAGCAAUCCUGGUCCUAGAAGAGACUUUGAGCCCAAUGUGGGACUCAGUCUCAGAAACCGCCAGAUCAUGACCUGAGCCAAAAUCAAGAGUUGGAUGCUCAACUGACUGAGCCACCCAGGCGUCCCAAAUUCUCCAUAUUAAUAGGACUCAAAGUUGCAGGUACAGAAUAGCAAUUUUUUGUUUUGAAAUUGGUAAGAAGAACCUUUGGAAAGUGUUUUUGCCUGACAAUCAAAAUUUAAAUUUCUGCCACUAUAACCAAUACUUAUUGAAUAUGAAAAUAAAACUAAGAAGUCAUGUAUGUGAUUGAAGUCCAAAAAUGUAACUAAGUUCAAUCAUUAAUUUCAACUUUUCCCACUGAAUCUAGAAUUGUUAAUACAUAGACUGUCUCAAUCUUUAAAAAGAGUUUAAAGAUUUUUCAUUAAAAUGAAUCUCAUUAAAUCUCUGAUCAACAUCCA